RNAcentral lists this ribosomal RNA (433 nucleotides) under uncultured bacterium. RNAcentral's name for it is "partial 16S ribosomal RNA". It matches the Rfam family "Bacterial small subunit ribosomal RNA", at positions 29 to 507 of the family's 1533-position model. The record is from RNAcentral.
AGCGAACGCUGGCGGCAGGCCUAACACAUGCAAGUCGAACGAACUCUUCGGAGUUAGUGGCGGACGGGUGAGUAACACGUGGGAACGUGCCUUUUGGUUCGGAAUAACUCAGGGAAACUUGUGCUAAUACCGAAUGUGCCCUUCGGGGGAAAGAUUUAUCGCCAUUAGAGCGGCCCGCGUCUGAUUAGCUAGUUGGUGAGGUAACGGCUCACCAAGGCGACGAUCAGUAGCUGGUCUGAGAGGAUGACCAGCCACACUGGGACUGAGACACGGCCCAGACUCCUACGGGAGGCAGCAGUGGGGAAUCUUGCGCAGUGGGCGAAAGCCUGACGCAGCCAUGCCGCGUGAAUGAUGAAGGUCUUAGGAUUGUAAAAUUCUUUCACCGGGGACGAUAAUGACGGUACCCGGAGAAGAAGCCCCGGCUAACUUCGUG